RNAcentral lists this long non-coding RNA (307 nucleotides) under Lathyrus oleraceus (garden pea). RNAcentral describes it as "Pisum sativum (pea) long non-coding RNA (PSAT_LNC002507)". The record is from RNAcentral. Lineage: Eukaryota; Viridiplantae; Streptophyta; Magnoliopsida; Fabales; Fabaceae.
UUGAAGUCGUGGACUACGCUUCCUUAGGGCUUUCGUAGCUUUUAUUUAUUUUUUUUAUUUUUUUUUCCUUGUUAAGAUUUUUUAAGAAUAUUUAUUUGUAAUCCAUUUUCAAAUUAAUAAAUAAAGAUCCCAGUGGUAUUCCGCGAUGUUCGUAAAGGCUUGAAUUCCAUGAAAUCUUUCAUUCGCAUUUUGCAUCACAUUUUGCAUUUCAUGUGUCUCCCGGUUGUCUCAUACUCGGUUCUAACGCGUACAGUUUCGUCACCCUGAAUCGAUACAACACUAGAGCUCAAGCUCGAAGAAGGAUGGA